Non-coding RNA from Podarcis lilfordi (Lilford's wall lizard), 86 nucleotides. The record is from the annotation of a GenBank genome assembly. NCBI's taxonomy places the organism in Eukaryota, Metazoa, Chordata, Lepidosauria, Squamata, Lacertidae.
GCCACAUCAUGGAGCAAUGGGUCAGCAUGUCUGGCUGUUAACCAGAAGGUUGGUGGUUGGAGCCCACCCAAGAAUGGCUGUAGGCA